Long non-coding RNA from Nyctereutes procyonoides (raccoon dog), 1417 nucleotides. RefSeq lists it as uncharacterized. The transcript has 3 exons. NCBI's taxonomy places the organism in Eukaryota, Metazoa, Chordata, Mammalia, Carnivora, Canidae. The record is from RefSeq and is a predicted model, not a curated record.
GAAUUUUUUUCCUUUUUUUUUUUUUAUAAGCACAAUAUGCGAUUUUUCCUUUGAAAAGAAGCCUCAGAAUGUCUACUUCGGAAUGAACAGGGCGCUUUUAGAAUGUUUCGAGGAAGAAAGGAACUCACGUGAUCCAUGAGCGUCCUUAUGCCUGUUUCCAGCUACUUUGCUAAAAUAUCUGCUCGUGGGCCCUGCUAGAUCGUUUUCGAAAGAAAAUGGGCAUCCCCCACCUCACCUCCCCCCCCUCCCCCGCCUAGGCCUCCCGGUGACACUGCUGUGGCUUAAAACCCUGUGCCCUGCGUCUGUAUGGUGGGUUUCUUUGCAAGACUUAACCCCGUGGAGCCAGCACUGUCCUGCGAAGCCUUCUUGUCUGCAAAUCGUGUCCUAUUAAAUCAACUGAACUUAGAUGCCAGAAAAGCCCAACGGAGGGGGAAAAAAAAGGAAAUUACCUUUAUGAAGGAACAGAAAUGACCUGUCUGUUCUUUUCGGGCCAAAGUUUUUUCACUUUUUCAGACCUAGAUUGUUUUUCUUUUAAUAAACAAAAGGUUCUCUAACAUGCACACCUGUGCACAUACAUACAUUCCCCGCCCCCCAAAUUUUAACAUGGUGCCUGUGACUCCCAUAGGCUUCGCUGCUUCUUUACCCUCACUACCCCAAAACUUUGCCAAGCGUUGUACCCUGGGAGGUGGAGGGGGCGUAAUAGAUUUUAGAGUUUUCAAAUAGAGAAUUGUAAUUUCUAAUGAUAUAGGACACCUUUCCUGCACCCUGGAGGUACACAGGUUCCAGGCUUUAUCUCUGGGGGAAGACAUAACUUCUGGAAACCAUAGAGGUGUCUCGUACUUCCCUCAUCCUCUCUUCAUCAUUCCUGCUCCCCCGCCCCUACCCCAACAGCCUACACUGCUGGCACUCCUGGGUCAUAUCCUUGGCUUUCCCUCAGGGAUGGCAAUUAGAAACUACGAUGUGCGACUGACCAUAUGUCAUUUAUUGUAGGGGUGCUUAUAAAACCGUGAUCCAUACGUGGAUUAUUCAAUGGCCCCUGUUAAGAAGACUCGAGACAUUUCAGACCUAUGAGGAAAAGCUUGCUUUCUUCCAAGGAACUGGGACUUGGGUUCUUUCAAAAGAAAGCUGGUGAAACAGGCCUUUUUGACGAUGGCCACAUACCUGUAAAGACUGGUGCCGUCUUGGAACUUGGCUGCGUUCGCUGACACAUAGAGAAGUUGUACACGUUUAAGGUGUUUAUGAUUACACACGGAAAUAAACCAUGCUUCAAACUGCUGAGCAUAGAGAGACGCCUGGGUGGCUCAGCGGUUGAGCAGCUGCCUUCAGCCCUGGGCGUGAUCCUGGAGUCCUGGGAUCGAGUCCCGCGUUGGGCUCCCUUCAUGGAGCCUGCUUCUCCCUCUGCCUGUGUCUCUGCCUC